RNAcentral lists this ribosomal RNA (333 nucleotides) under Cortinarius sp. 5187 JG-2015. RNAcentral describes it as "eukaryotic LSU rRNA". The stretch from base 1 to 71 matches the Rfam family "5.8S ribosomal RNA", at positions 84 to 154 of the family's 154-position model. The record is from RNAcentral. Lineage: Eukaryota; Fungi; Basidiomycota; Agaricomycetes; Agaricales; Cortinariaceae.
GUGAGUCAUCGAAUCUUUGAACGCACCUUGCGCUUCUUGGUAUUCCGAGGAGCAUGCCUGUUUGAGUGUCAUUAAUAUAUCAAUCUCUUCAGCCUUUUGCUUGUUUGAGUAUUGGAUCUGGAGGGCUUGCUGGCUUUCUUUUGAAGGUUGGCUCCUCUGAAAUGCAUUAGCGGAACAUAUUGUUGACCCGUUCAUUGGUGUGAUAACUAUUUACGCUAUUGACGUGAGACAGGUUCAGCUCCAACAGUCCAUUGACUUGGACAACUUUUCAUUAAUGUGACCUCAAAUCAGGUAGGACUACCCGCUGAACUUAAGCAUAUCAAUAAGCGGAGG